GCGAGAAGACAGUCUAUUGACGUCGGUUGUAAUGGGGGGCCAACGUCCACUUGGUUGCAAUUAAUGCUCUUCACUUGAUUCCCAGGCGCUUAGAAGUCAUGUAGUAAAAAACCGACGUCUAUGGCCUGUCAAGAAGGCGGGAAGACAAAAAUUUUGCAAUUUACACAUCGGAUUUCUGGGGUAGCGACCUCUAUGUGCCUGUAAUUAAUAAUGUUCACCAAAUUCGGAGGCCCUUCGACGUCUGACAGAUGGUCACCGACGCCUAAAUUAUUAUAGACGUCGGCGCUCCUUCUCACUUGUCGUCAACAUCCUUGACAGGAGAUGAAACGUCAAUCGGUUCAGCUUCCUAGACGUCGGCUCUCCUGGAGUCCGACGUCUAAUGGGCACUCAAAAAGUCAGUUUAAAUGUUAACUUGGACGUCGAAUUAGUUAGAUAACCGAAGUCUAGGUAACUAUAGAUGUCGGUUUCUAGAGCAACCGAUGCCCCAUUUCAUUUUAAAUUAACCGUAGACUCUUCGCGGCAUUGCAAUUUCUGAUAUCAUCGAUUGUCUUCUUCCUCUCCUUUUUCUCUUGCGGCACCUCUUCUUUUUCUCUUUACGGCAUUGCAUUAUUGUUUCUGAUAACAUCAUCGUCUUCCUCCUCUUCUUUUUCUCUCUUAUGGCAUUGCAUCCCAGAUGUGUGUUUUUUUAUGGUGACCGUUU
RNAcentral lists this long non-coding RNA (700 nucleotides) under Vigna radiata. Its description in RNAcentral is "long non-coding RNA (VRAD_LNC016493)". The record is from RNAcentral. Lineage: Eukaryota; Viridiplantae; Streptophyta; Magnoliopsida; Fabales; Fabaceae.